RNAcentral lists this ribosomal RNA (253 nucleotides) under uncultured bacterium. RNAcentral describes it as "partial 16S ribosomal RNA". It matches the Rfam family "Bacterial small subunit ribosomal RNA", at positions 524 to 776 of the family's 1533-position model. The record is from RNAcentral.
UACGAAGGGGGCGAGCGUUGUUCGGAAUUACUGGGCGUAAAGGGCGCGUAGGCGGCGACUCAAGUUAGAUGUGAAAGUCCUGGGCUUAACCUGGGGACUGCAUUUGAUACUGGGUUGCUUGAAUUCGGGAGAGGAUAGCGGAAUUCCCAGUGUAGAGGUGAAAUUCGUAGAUAUUGGGAAGAACACCGGUGGCGAAGGCGGCUAUCUGGACCGACAUUGACGCUGAGGCGCGAAAGCGUGGGGAUCAAACAGG